This 427-nucleotide ribosomal RNA is filed under the name uncultured bacterium. RNAcentral describes it as "bacterial SSU rRNA". It matches the Rfam family "Bacterial small subunit ribosomal RNA", at positions 355 to 774 of the family's 1533-position model. The record is from RNAcentral.
UGGGGAAUUUUGGACAAUGGGCGCAAGCCUGAUCCAGCCAUGCCGCGUGCGGGAAGAAGGCCUUCGGGUUGUAAACCGCUUUUGUCGGGGAAGAAAUCUCUCGGGCUAAUACCUCGGGGGGAUGACGGUACCCGAAGAAUAAGCACCGGCUAACUACGUGCCAGCAGCCGCGGUAAUACGUAGGGUGCGAGCGUUAAUCGGAAUUACUGGGCGUAAAGCGUGCGCAGGCGGUCGUGCAAGGCAGAUGUGAAAUCCCCGGGCUCAACCUGGGAACUGCAUUUGUGACUGCACGGCUGGAGUACGGCAGAGGGGGAUGGAAUUCCGCGUGUAGCAGUGAAAUGCGUAGAUAUGCGGAGGAACACCGAUGGCGAAGGCAGUCCCCUGGGCCUGUACUGACGCUCAUGCACGAGAGCGUGGGGAGCAAACA